RNAcentral lists this ribosomal RNA (107 nucleotides) under Acanthosepion pharaonis. Lineage: Eukaryota; Metazoa; Mollusca; Cephalopoda; Sepiida; Sepiidae. The record is from RNAcentral.
ACUAUGUCACAUUGAAACACCGGUUCUCAUACAUUCACCAAAGUUAAGCAACACUGACCCUGUUCAGUACCUAGAUGGGUGACCACUUGGGAAUACCAGGUGCUGUA